Molecule: unclassified non-coding RNA, 162 nt
Filed under: uncultured Nectriaceae
Lineage: Eukaryota; Fungi; Ascomycota; Sordariomycetes; Hypocreales; Nectriaceae
Description: sequence contains ITS2
Source: RNAcentral
CAACCCUCAGGCCCCUCCGGGCUUGGUGUUGGGGAUCGGCCCCGCCCCGGCGGCCGGCCCCGAAACUCAGUGGCGGUCGCGCCGUAGGCUCCUCUGCGUAGUAGCAACACCUCGCAGUGGGACGCGGCGCGGCCACGCCGUAAACCCCCCAACUUCUGAAUG